This 403-nucleotide ribosomal RNA is filed under the name Verrucomicrobiota bacterium. RNAcentral describes it as "Verrucomicrobia bacterium partial 16S ribosomal RNA". It matches the Rfam family "Bacterial small subunit ribosomal RNA", at positions 355 to 776 of the family's 1533-position model. The record is from RNAcentral. Lineage: Bacteria; Pseudomonadati; Verrucomicrobiota.
UGGGGAAUAUUGCACAAUGGGGGAAACCCUUAUGCAGCGACGCCGCGUGAGCGAAGAAGGUUUUCGAAUCGUAAAGCUCUGUCCUAUGAGAAGAUAAUGACGGUACCCUGUGAGGAAGCCCCGGCUAACUACGUGCCAGCAGCCGCGGUAAUACGUAGGGGGCUAGCGUUAUCCGGAUUUACUGGGCGUAAAGGGUGCGUAGGUGGUCUUUCAAGUCGGUGGUUAAAGGCUACGGCUCAACCGUAGUUAGCCUCCGAAACUGGAAGACUUGAGUGCAGGAGAGGAAAGUGGAAUUCCCAGUGUAGCGGUGAAAUGCGUAGAUAUUGGGAGGAACACCAGUAGCGAAGGCGGCUUUCUGGACUGCAACUGACACUGAGGCACGAAAGCGUGGGUAGCAAACAGG